GUCAGGCCAGGCCCAGGCCACCCAGCCACUCCUGGCUCCUGCACCACCAUCAGCAGCCCCUGGCCAGCUUACUUCCUGCUUUACCUCUUUCUGUGGCAAAUGAAACUCUCUCCCCCAAACAGGACAGUGUCUGGCAGCGGUGGCCACACAAGCUCCCAGCUGGUGUGGAAGGUGCCCUCCUGUCCCAGCAGCUGACAUUUGUAACAAGCCUGUCCACGCCUGGUCACAUACAUCUGGGCUCACCUGUGCCGAGCCUGGGCCUGGAAGAACACGGAUGCUGUGUCAGCCCGCUACAUCCCCCGGUGGCCCUGGCCAGAGGCCACCUUAUCCUGCUGAGCCCUCUGUGCAGCCAGGCUGGGCCCCGAGGUCAGCUAGCUCCCACCUGGGCAUCUCCUCAUCCUGAAAACUGGCUGUGUAUUCAGUGUGGCGAGGACCCACAGAGAGGCCAGGGACGCAAUCCGUGCAGCUAGUGGCCUGUGGACACGGACAUCAUGCUUGUGUCAUGUUCAAAUAGCUGACCCCAGAGUCAUCUGGCACCACUUGAAGCAAGUCCCCAAGGCCCAAGUGAUAUGUGGGGAAGUGUCCCUGCAGCCCGUGGGCCUCUGAGGGCGGGGCGGCAUGUGUGCCAGUGUCCCCCUGGUUGGAGCUGGGAUCCAGGGCCUGGCCUGAGAGCUCGUCCUCCACCCAGCUGACGCAGGACGGGCUCCGUCACAUGUGGCUGAAAAGUCAAGACUCCCUCGCGUUGAGAGUUUGGGGAGACGGAGCUGAAGUGUGAGAGCUUUGUGAUCAGGGAAGUCUCCAGGAAGAUUGAUCUGAUGUGUGUCAUCUACAAAUCUGAGCCGCGUGCAGAUCAGGAAGCAAGCGUGUGCCACCAGGAAGCCAGCCAGGGCCGGAACGUGAGCACCCGGCAAGGCCUGACUGCUGAUUACGCUGCUGGAAAGGCGCAGCGGAAGAGGCGGAAACGGAAGGGGCCGUG
This 976-nucleotide long non-coding RNA is filed under the name Marmota monax (woodchuck). The record is from RNAcentral. Lineage: Eukaryota; Metazoa; Chordata; Mammalia; Rodentia; Sciuridae.